GGCUCUGUGGUGCAAUGGAUAGCGCAUUGGACUUCUAGGCUGUGGGUUCGAGUCCCACCAGAGUCG
Molecule: transfer RNA, 66 nt
Filed under: Danio rerio (zebrafish)
Lineage: Eukaryota; Metazoa; Chordata; Actinopteri; Cypriniformes; Danionidae
Rfam family: tRNA
About the family: Transfer RNA (tRNA) molecules are approximately 80 nucleotides in length. Their secondary structure includes four short double-helical elements and three loops (D, anti-codon, and T loops).
Source: Rfam by way of RNAcentral